Molecule: ribosomal RNA, 949 nt
Filed under: Rhodococcus sp. (in: high G+C Gram-positive bacteria)
Lineage: Bacteria; Bacillati; Actinomycetota; Actinomycetes; Mycobacteriales; Nocardiaceae
Description: bacterial SSU rRNA
Rfam family: Bacterial small subunit ribosomal RNA
Source: RNAcentral
GGCCGUGGCGGCGUGCUUACCAUGCAGUCGAGCGGUAAGGCCUUUCGGGGUACACGAGCGGCGAACGGGUGAGUAACACGUGGGUGAUCUGCCCUGCACUUCGGGAUAAGCCUGGGAAACUGGGUCUAAUACCGGAUAUGACCUCCUAUCGCAUGGUGGGUGGUGGAAAGAUUUAUCGGUGCAGGAUGGGCCCGCGGCCUAUCAGCUUGUUGGUGGGGUAAUGGCCUACCAAGGCGACGACGGGUAGCCGACCUGAGAGGGUGACCGGCCACACUGGGACUGAGACACGGCCCAGACUCCUACGGGAGGCAGCAGUGGGGAAUAUUGCACAAUGGGCGAAAGCCUGAUGCAGCGACGCCGCGUGAGGGAUGACGGCCUUCGGGUUGUAAACCUCUUUCAGCAGGGACGAAGCGCAAGUGACGGUACCUGCAGAAGAAGCACCGGCUAACUACGUGCCAGCAGCCGCGGUAAUACGUAGGGUGCAAGCGUUGUCCGGAAUUACUGGGCGUAAAGAGUUCGUAGGCGGUUUGUCGCGUCGUUUGUGAAAACCAGCAGCUCAACUGCUGGCUUGCAGGCGAUACGGGCAGACUUGAGUACUGCAGGGGAGACUGGAAUUCCUGGUGUAGCGGUGAAAUGCGCAGAUAUCAGGAGGAACACCGGUGGCGAAGGCGGGUCUCUGGGCAGUAACUGACGCUGAGGAACGAAAGCGUGGGUAGCGAACAGGAUUAGAUACCCUGGUAGUCCACGCCGUAAACGGUGGGCGCUAAGGUGUGGGUUCCUUCCACGGAAUCCGUGCCGUAGCUAACGCAUUAAGCGCCCCGCCUGGGGAGUACGGCCGCAAGGCUAAAACUCAAAGGAAAUUGACGGGGGCCCGCACAAGCGGCGGAGCAUGUGGAUUAAUUCGAUGCAACGCGAAGAACCUUACCUGGGGUUGACAUAUACCGGAAAG